CCACAGCGACUGACAACAAAUACGGGAAGUAAAGGAAGACUCGAGGGAGGACAAAAAGUGUGACAAGUGUUCGUGGAGAGAAAAGUCAGUGAAGAGGGCGUGGAGGUUUCACACAGUUUCAGUCCCUGUUCCGAUCCUACCAGGAGUCGACUGGUCGAGAUUUUUACCCAUUGGAAAACGGACAUCGGUUUUCACCGGCAGAAGGAAUCGCUCAAUCACCGAUCCUGCUUUAUUGAUCUGAUUAUUGGACUUCAGAAGUGGAUUCCUGUCAAAACUCAGCAGAUAUGUCACAGGACACAAAAAUACAACUGACUUCCAUACCUGGCUCAGCUGAAGAGCAACAGGAGGAUGAUCCUAUGAUGAAACACCACAGGAAACAAAGGAAGGACAAAGAUAACAUAGAAAACUACAGGAAACUGGCCAUUUGCAGCAUCAUCUGUGGUUGCUCCUGUUUGGGAUACAAAGCUCUGGAAAAUUCAUUCCAGGUUGAUCAUGAAGAGGACAAAGACAAAAAACUGAAGUAUUCACAAGAGGCAAAGAAAUACGGCAUAAUCUCAAUUUUCACACUUAUUGGGAUCCUUGUCUUCAUUCCUGUGCUGCUAGUUUUCGUCUCAUAUCUUCUGACGUUGAGAGACUAAACGACUUCGGCAGAAAAGCAAAAAGAUUCUGUGAAAACCUUUGUAUUUUAUGGAGCAAAGUAACAAAAACAAAGCUGUGAUCAUUGAUUGUCAUUAGAAGUUACAACCACUACUUUUAUCUCCAGUAUUUAACGGAAACAAAACAGGCGGCUUUCAUGUUUUUAUACCGUGAUAUUUAUUUACCAUGUGGACGAAUUCCUUUUUAAAAAAUUAACAUGUAAAAUCCAGCAUUGCCUUUAAAUUUGACACAAUUUGAAAAGUUGAAGAUUUCCACACAUUCAGAAAAACUGAAUAUUUACAUGUCUUUUAAUGAGUGAAAAUCCUAAAGAGAGGCAAAAUAAACUUUCAAAAGCACCUUUAUAUACUGUAGCAACUCAUUCCUCAAUAUAGUUUAUUAUUAAAAGAAAUGUAUGAAUUGUUACUGUAUAUCCUAAAAUCACAAAUACAAGAGUGGAUAAAACAAUUUGAACUGUGUGAAAUAAAAACAAACGGCAUAGUGGUGAUUAUGGCAGUGCUUCAAAAUGACAUUUUCUUGGCAUUAUUGCAUUGUUACUUUACCUGUAUUUUUUAUUAAAUGUAUACAUAUACUGUACUUUUAUACAAACGCUGCAUUUUAUAAUAAAACAUGU
Long non-coding RNA from Gambusia affinis (western mosquitofish), 1267 nucleotides. RefSeq lists it as uncharacterized. Lineage: Eukaryota; Metazoa; Chordata; Actinopteri; Cyprinodontiformes; Poeciliidae. The transcript is spliced from 3 exons. The record is from RefSeq and is a predicted model, not a curated record.